This 508-nucleotide ribosomal RNA is filed under the name uncultured bacterium. RNAcentral's name for it is "bacterial SSU rRNA". It matches the Rfam family "Bacterial small subunit ribosomal RNA", at positions 791 to 1300 of the family's 1533-position model. The record is from RNAcentral.
UAGUCCACGCAGUAAACGAUGAGUGCUAGAUGUUAGAACUAUGUUUUAGCGUCGAAGCUAACGCAUUAAGCACUCCGCCUGGGAACUACGAUCGCAAGGUUAAAACUCAAAGGAAUUGACGGGGACCCGCACAAGCGGUGGAACAUGUGGUUUAAUUCGAUGCUACGCGAAAAACCUUACCAAGUCUUGACAUGUUAGUCGUAUGAUUAGGAAACUAGUCAGUCAGUUCGGCUGGACUAUCACAGGUGUUGCAUGGCUGUCGUCAGCUCGUGUCGUGAGAUGUUGGGUUAAGUCCCGCAACGAGCGCAACCCUUAUCUUUAAUUGCCAACAGGUUAUGCUGGGAACUUUAAAGAGACUGCCGGUGACAAACCGGAGGAAGGUAAGGAUGACGUCAAGUCAGCAUGCCCCUUAUGCUCUGGGCUACACACGUGCUACAAUGGCCGUGACAAAGAGUUGCUACUUUGUGAAAACAAGCUAAUCUCAUAAACGCGGCCUCAGUUCGGAUUG